Molecule: transfer RNA, 86 nt
Filed under: Thermofilum sp. ex4484_79
Lineage: Archaea; Thermoproteati; Thermoproteota; Thermoprotei; Thermofilales; Thermofilaceae
Also listed under: 2 other names
Description: tRNA-Ser
Rfam family: tRNA
About the family: Transfer RNA (tRNA) molecules are approximately 80 nucleotides in length. Their secondary structure includes four short double-helical elements and three loops (D, anti-codon, and T loops).
Source: RNAcentral
GCCGGGGUGGCCGAGUGGACUAAGGCGCAGGCCUGGAGAGCCUGUGGGCCAAACGGCCCUCGUGGGUUCAAAUCCCACCCCCGGCG